RNAcentral lists this ribosomal RNA (301 nucleotides) under uncultured bacterium. Its description in RNAcentral is "partial 16S ribosomal RNA". It matches the Rfam family "Bacterial small subunit ribosomal RNA", at positions 509 to 807 of the family's 1533-position model. The record is from RNAcentral.
CAGCAGCCGCGGUAAUACAGAGGGUGCAAGCGUUAAUCGGAAUUACUGGGCGUAAAGCGCGCGUAGGUGGUUUGUUAAGUUGGAUGUGAAAGCCCCGGGCUCAACCUGGGAACUGCAUCCAAAACUGGCAAGCUAGAGUUCGGUAGAGGGUGGUGGAAUUUCCUGUGUAGCGGUGAAAUGCGUAGAUAUAGGAAGGAACACCAGUGGCGAAGGCGACCACCUGGACUGAUACUGACACUGAGGUGCGAAAGCGUGGGGAGCAAACAGGAUUAGAUACCCCGGUAGUCCCUGUCUCUUAUAC